RNAcentral lists this ribosomal RNA (136 nucleotides) under uncultured eukaryote. Its description in RNAcentral is "partial 18S ribosomal RNA". It matches the Rfam family "Eukaryotic small subunit ribosomal RNA", at positions 1299 to 1458 of the family's 1831-position model. The record is from RNAcentral.
UGGUGGGGUGACCCGUCUGGUUAAUUUCGAUAACGAACGAGAUCCGAGCUGUUUAGUUGGCUGUGCCUGUUUUACAGGUAUAUGUCUCCUAUAUGGACUGUCAGUUUGAGGCUGAAGGAAGUUUCGGGCUAAAUCA